GGGAAAGUGGCUCAGUGGUAGAGUGCUUGCCUAGCAUGCAUGAAGCCCUGGGUUCAAAUCCUCAGUACCA
RNAcentral lists this transfer RNA (70 nucleotides) under Dipodomys ordii (Ord's kangaroo rat). It matches the Rfam family "tRNA". From Rfam's summary of the family: Transfer RNA (tRNA) molecules are approximately 80 nucleotides in length. Lineage: Eukaryota; Metazoa; Chordata; Mammalia; Rodentia; Heteromyidae. The record is from Rfam by way of RNAcentral.